Molecule: long non-coding RNA, 204 nt
Filed under: Nicotiana benthamiana
Lineage: Eukaryota; Viridiplantae; Streptophyta; Magnoliopsida; Solanales; Solanaceae
Description: long non-coding RNA (NBEN_LNC003377)
Source: RNAcentral
CUUUCUUUGCUCCUUAUUAGCUUUCGAGUUUCGUAAUAAAACAUUAGGAACAUAAAGUCUAAUUUGGUCGAGUACAUUUUGGAGUGAGUCGGGGAGCUUAUUGAUGGUAGAUCGAAUAGCUAGCUAGGUUUGAGAGUUGGAGAUAUCAGCCUCAUUGGCGUAUCUUUUCAUCAGGUCAAAAGAAUCCUAAUUCAUACAAAAAUA